CCAAUAGCGUAUAUUAAAGUUGUUGCAGUUAAAAAGCUCGUAGUUGAAUUUCGGGGUCAGUAGGUUGGUCAUGCCACUGGUAUGUACUGGUCUCACUGAUUCCUCCUUCCUGAUGAACUGUAAUGCCAUUAAUUUGGUGUUGCAGGGAAUCUGGACUGUUACUUUGAAAAAAUUAGAGUGUUUAAAGCAGGCUAACGCCUGAAUACAUUAGCAUGGAAUAAUGAAAUAGGACGUUCGAUCCUAUUUUGUUGGUUUCUAGGAUUGACGUAAUGAUUAAUAGGGAUAGUUGGGGGCAUUAGUAUUCAAUUGUCAGAGGUGAAAUUCUUGGAUUUAUUGAAGACUAACUACUGCGAAAGCAUUUGCCAAGGAUGUUUUCAUUAAUCAAGAACGAAAGUUAGGGGAUCGAAGACGAUCAGAUACCGUCGUAGUCUUAACCAUAAACUAUGCCGACUAGGGAUCGGAUGAUGUUAAUUUUUUAAUGACUCAUUCGGCGCCUUGCA
This 500-nucleotide ribosomal RNA is filed under the name uncultured Glomeromycotina. Its description in RNAcentral is "partial small subunit ribosomal RNA". It matches the Rfam family "Eukaryotic small subunit ribosomal RNA", at positions 591 to 1092 of the family's 1831-position model. Lineage: Eukaryota; Fungi; Glomeromycota. The record is from RNAcentral.